Molecule: ribosomal RNA, 529 nt
Filed under: uncultured bacterium
Lineage: Bacteria
Description: partial 16S ribosomal RNA
Rfam family: Bacterial small subunit ribosomal RNA
Source: RNAcentral
UGGGGAAUAUUGCACAAUGGGCGAAAGCCUGAUGCAGCAACGCCGCGUGAGUGAUGAAGGUCUUCGGAUUGUAAAGCUCUGUCUUUUGGGACGAUAAUGACGGUACCAAAGGAGGAAGCCACGGCUAACUACGUGCCAGCAGCCGCGGUAAUACGUAGGUGGCGAGCGUUGUCCGGAUUUACUGGGCGUAAAGGGUGCGUAGGCGGAUGUUUAAGUGAGAUGUGAAAUACCCGGGCUUAACUUGGGUGCUGCAUUUCAAACUGGAUAUCUAGAGUGCAGGAGAGGAGAAUGGAAUUCCUAGUGUAGCGGUGAAAUGCAUAGAGAUUAGGAAGAACACCAGUGGCGAAGGCGAUUCUCUGGACUGUAACUGACGCUGAGGCACGAAAGCGUGGGUAGCAAACAGGAUUAGAUACCCUGGUAGUCCACGCCGUAAACGAUGAGUACUAGGUGUAGGAGGUAUCGACCCCUUCUGUGCCGCAGUAAACACAUUAAGUACUCCGCCUGGGAAGUACGAUCGCAAGAUUAAAAC